GUGGGGAAUAUUGGACAAUGGGCGAAAGCCUGAUCCAGCAAUGCCGCGUGAGUGAUGAAGGCCUUAGGGUUGUAAAGCUCUUUUACCCGGGAUGAUAAUGACAGUACCGGGAGAAUAAGCUCCGGCUAACUCCGUGCCAGCAGCCGCGGUAAUACGGAGGGAGCUAGCGUUGUUCGGAAUUACUGGGCGUAAAGCGCACGUAGGCGGCUUUGUAAGUUAGAGGUGAAAGCCUGGAGCUUAACUCCAGAACUGCCUUUAAGACUGCGUCGCUUGAAUCCAGGGGAGGUGAGUGGAAUUCCGAGUGUAGAGGUGAAAUUCGUAGAUAUUCGGAAGAACACCAGUGGCGAAGGCGGCUCACUGGACUGGUAUUGACGCUGAGGUGCGAAAGCGUGGGGAGCAAACAGGAUUAGAAACCCGAGUAGUCC
Molecule: ribosomal RNA, 425 nt
Filed under: uncultured bacterium
Lineage: Bacteria
Description: partial 16S ribosomal RNA
Rfam family: Bacterial small subunit ribosomal RNA
Source: RNAcentral